GACGAACGCUGGCGGCGUGCUUAACACAUGCAAGUCGAACGGAAAGGCCCCCUUGUGGGGUACUCGAGUGGCGAACGGGUGAGUAACACGUGAGUAACCUACCCUUGACUUUGGGAUAACUUCAGGAAACUGGGGCUAAUACCGGAUAGGAGCUCCUGCUGCAUGGUGGGGGUUGGAAAGUUUCGGCGGUUGGGGAUGGACUCGCGGCUUAUCAGCUUGUUGGUGGGGUAGUGGCUCACCAAGGCUUUGACGGGUAGCCGGCCUGAGAGGGUGACCGGCCACAUUGGGACUGAGAUACGGCCCAGACUCCUACGGGAGGCAGCAGUGGGGAAUAUUGCACAAUGGGCGGAAGCCUGAUGCAGCAACGCUGCGUGCGGGAUGACGGCCUUCGGGUUGUAAACCGCUUUCGCCUGUGACGAAGCGUGAGUGACGGUAAUGGGUAAAGAAGCACCGGCUAACUACGU
RNAcentral lists this ribosomal RNA (464 nucleotides) under uncultured bacterium. RNAcentral describes it as "partial 16S ribosomal RNA". It matches the Rfam family "Bacterial small subunit ribosomal RNA", at positions 28 to 506 of the family's 1533-position model. The record is from RNAcentral.